GCACGUUAUGGUGGGCACUCUAAGGAGAACUGCCGGUGGACAAACCGGAGGAAAGGUGGGGAGUGACGUCAAGUCAUCAUGGCCCUUACCGGCCUGGGCGUACACACGUGCUACAAUGGUCGGUACAAAGGGUUGCCAAGCCGCGAGGUGGAGCUAAUCCCAUAAAACCGAUCGUAGUCCGGAUCGCAGUCUGCAACUCGACUGCGUGAAGUCGGAAUCGCUAGUAAUCGUGAAUCAGAAUGUCACGGUGAAUACGUUCCCGGGCCUU
This 268-nucleotide ribosomal RNA is filed under the name uncultured Pseudomonas sp. RNAcentral describes it as "partial 16S ribosomal RNA". It matches the Rfam family "Bacterial small subunit ribosomal RNA", at positions 1121 to 1382 of the family's 1533-position model. The record is from RNAcentral. Lineage: Bacteria; Pseudomonadati; Pseudomonadota; Gammaproteobacteria; Pseudomonadales; Pseudomonadaceae.